GUAGGGAAUAUUGGACAAUGGGGGAAACCCUGAUCCAGCGAUGCCGCGUGUGUGAAGAAGGCUCUAGGGUCGUAAAGCACUUUCAGUAGUGAAGAAUGAGGCAGUGGCUAAUAACCACCGCCAGUGACAUUAGCUACAGAAGAAGCACCGGCUAACUCCGUGCCAGCAGCCGCGGUAAUACGGAGGGUGCAAGCGUUAAUCGGAAUUACUGGGCGUAAAGCGCGCGUAGGCGGCAUGGCAAGUUGGAUGUGAAAUCCCCGGGCUUAACCUGGGAACUGCAUUCAAAACUGCCAAGCUAGAGUACAGCAGAGGUCAAUGGAAUUUCCGGUGUAGCAGUGAAAUGCGUAGAUAUCGGAAGGAACAUCAGUGGCGAAGGCGAUUGACUGGGCUGAUACUGACGCUGAGGCGCGAAGGCGUGGGUAGCAAACAGG
RNAcentral lists this ribosomal RNA (431 nucleotides) under uncultured bacterium. Its description in RNAcentral is "bacterial SSU rRNA". It matches the Rfam family "Bacterial small subunit ribosomal RNA", at positions 354 to 776 of the family's 1533-position model. The record is from RNAcentral.